CCUGAUGUGGGGGAUAACUAUUGGAAACGAUAGCUAAUACCGCAUAAUCUCUUCGGAGCAAAGAGGGGGACCUUCGGGCCUCUCGCGUCAGGAUUAGCCCAGGUGGGAUUAGCUAGUUGGUGGGGUAAUGGCUCACCAAGGCGACGAUCCCUAGCUGGUCUGAGAGGAUGAUCAGCCACACUGGAACUGAGACACGGUCCAGACUCCUACGGGAGGCAGCAGUGGGGAAUAUUGCACAAUGGGGGGAACCCUGAUGCAGCCAUGCCGCGUGUAUGAAGAAGGCCUUCGGGUUGUAAAGUACUUUCAGUUGUGAGGAAGGCGUUGAAGUUAAUAGCUUCAGCGCUUGACGUUAGCAACAGAAGAAGCACCGGCUAACUCCGUGCCAGCAGCCGCGGUAAUACGGAGGGUGCGAGCGUUAAUCGGAAUUACUGGGCGUAAAGCGCAUGCAGGCGGUCUGUUAAGCAAGAUGUGAAAGCCCGGGGCUCAACCUCGGAACAGCAUUUUGAACUGGCAGACUAGAGUCUUGUAGAGGGGGGUAGAAUUUCAGGUGUAGCGGUGAAAUGCGUAGAGAUCUGAAGGAAUACCGGUGGCGAAGGCGG
This 599-nucleotide ribosomal RNA is filed under the name Photobacterium phosphoreum. Its description in RNAcentral is "bacterial SSU rRNA". It matches the Rfam family "Bacterial small subunit ribosomal RNA", at positions 130 to 724 of the family's 1533-position model. Lineage: Bacteria; Pseudomonadati; Pseudomonadota; Gammaproteobacteria; Vibrionales; Vibrionaceae. The record is from RNAcentral.